GAGAUUGUGCCGUUAUAAACUCCAGCCUGGGCAACAGAGCAAAAUUCUGUCUCAAAAAAAAUAAUAAAAUAGAGAUCCCAGAGACAGAUAUGCUUAUAUAGGCAGUUGGAUUCGAAUAUAUAUCUAAUAUAUGUCUGUUUAAAUAGAUGUAGUUGUUAAAAAAAAAUCAAGUACAUUAUUACUCAGACAUAUCAGGUUAAUGAGAAGACCAUUCAGGCUUAUAAAUGUUGUAAUUGAUGAAGUAUUUUAGAAUUAUUUGGAUGCAUCGUUAGUCUACUUACUAAAGGUGUGGGGGAGUACACCUGUGCUUGUCCAUUAAUUGUCCAUGACACCAUUCUGUCAGAAUACAGGAUUAGAGUAAUUAUUCUGAGUGUAUUAUUUCUUCUUAUUUCAUAAAAGCCAUGUGCUGUACAGCAUUUAAUUCAUACUUACAGAGAUAAAGUGAAUGAACUAAACGCUGCGCUUUUUUGUUUUAUUUGAGUAUUAGUCUUGUAUAUACUUUAUAUUAAAAUGCAUUCGUAGGGAGUAAUUAAUAUUUUGUGAGCAUCUACAGUAUGCAUAGUACCUGCUCUCGGGGUGUACAUUUCUGAGGGCAGAGACAAAUGCACCUACAAAUAACUAUGCCAUUAUAAUAAAGUUUUAAUGAAAUACUAAAAUGGGAAAUUGGAGGAUUUUGACUAUGGAGUUUGGGGUAGACUUUGUGUUCUUUCAUUCUGAAAACUGAGGGAAGGUCAUUUUAGACAAAGGAAAAGUAUUGAGCCAAGACAGAAAUAUCUGGAUUGCAUGAUUGUUACGGAGACUGAGUUGGCUCUGAAGUCAGACUGCUUGAGCUGAAUCUGGUUCCUCCUAUUACCUGCCAUGUGAUCUGGGGCAAACAGUUCUUGUUAAUUUUUUAAUCUACAAAUUUAAGAUAAUAUUUUCUUUGCCUUACAGGAAAACUGCACAUAUAAGAGGAUAGUUUAAUGAAAUGUAAUAAACUGAGUAUACCUGUGUAACUUGCAUGCAAAUUAUAAACAAAACAAGAUUAUCGGCAUCCCAAGAGGUUUUUACAUUCUCGAUUGUAUUGUUUUGAGGAUUCGGUAUUAUUUGUAAAGUGGACCUGGCAAUGGCUAACACCUGUAACCCUAGCACUUUGGUAGGCCUAGGUGGGAGGAUUGUUUAAUCCCAGGAGUUUGAGACCAGCAUGAACAGCAAAGUGAGACUCUGUCUCUAUUAUUAAUAAAAUAAAGAAGAAGAAAAAACAUUAUUUGUGAAGUGUUCAGAACAGUAUCUGGCAUAUAUUAUAUCCCUAUCAGUGUUAGCCAUUAUUCAGUAGAUGGCUGGUGAAUAUGGAUGAAACCAGAGAAGGUACACUCCCUGGCAUAUAUCAAGCAUUCAGUAGACAUGUUUUGAAUUAUUUAAAGAAAAAUAAAGAAUACAACCAUGGUUGUCAGUUUUACAGAGGCUAGAUUAGGGAUUUAGUACAGUUAUCAAAUUAUCGGUAUAAUUUUAAUGACUAGCCUAUAUAGGAAAAC
Sapajus apella (tufted capuchin) is the source of this 1514-nucleotide long non-coding RNA. RefSeq lists it as uncharacterized. Lineage: Eukaryota; Metazoa; Chordata; Mammalia; Primates; Cebidae. The record is from RefSeq and is a predicted model, not a curated record. The transcript is spliced from 2 exons.